Long non-coding RNA from Daphnia pulex (common water flea), 376 nucleotides. RefSeq lists it as uncharacterized. NCBI's taxonomy places the organism in Eukaryota, Metazoa, Arthropoda, Branchiopoda, Diplostraca, Daphniidae. The record is from RefSeq and is a predicted model, not a curated record. The transcript has 3 exons.
GGCAUCUUUAAUAAUAUUGCAACCAACUUAGGAUUCAAAACUCAUUACCAGAUGUCGCUAGUGUCGCCCUUGUUGUGUUUACAUCGUGAAACCAGGAAAAAAGGGGUGAAACAAUUGGAUGCGAAUUAAUACUUAUAUUCCUGUGAUUUCAUAUACCAAAUUGAACUUCGUAUCAUGUUCUUAGAUGCAUACUGUCAGUGUCAGUCAUUCCAACAAGUUGACUUAGCGCUCAGUCAAUUUCCAUCCAUUAGGCCCAUCAUGCUGUCAAAAGACUAAAACUCAUGUUUGAAGAUCACAUGUAGUGGAAAACAAAUCUGCUGAGAUAAGAGCACGUAAAAGAUCCUAAUAAGCCAAUGCUGACCUUUGUCCAUGACGG